Molecule: antisense RNA, 69 nt
Filed under: Kutzneria viridogrisea DSM 43870
Lineage: Bacteria; Bacillati; Actinomycetota; Actinomycetes; Pseudonocardiales; Pseudonocardiaceae
Description: Kutzneria albida DSM 43870 ASpks TB sRNA
Rfam family: ASpks TB sRNA
Source: Rfam by way of RNAcentral
CUUGACCGAGCCCAGCCACAACGGGCGGGUGCGGUCCUGGCCGUAGGUGGCCAACAACGCCUGUGCCUC